RNAcentral lists this small RNA (127 nucleotides) under Marmota monax (woodchuck). Lineage: Eukaryota; Metazoa; Chordata; Mammalia; Rodentia; Sciuridae. The record is from RNAcentral.
GCCAAGUAUGGUGGUGCAUAUUUGUAAUCCCAGAGGCUUGGGAGGCUGAGGCAGGAGGAUUGCAAGUUCAAAGCCAGCAUCAGCUAUUUUGGGAGGCCCUAUGCAACCCAGAAAGACCCUGUUUUUU